This 76-nucleotide transfer RNA is filed under the name Nitrosomonadales bacterium. RNAcentral's name for it is "tRNA-Lys". It matches the Rfam family "tRNA". From Rfam's summary of the family: Transfer RNA (tRNA) molecules are approximately 80 nucleotides in length. RNAcentral also lists the same sequence under 1 other name. Lineage: Bacteria; Pseudomonadati; Pseudomonadota; Betaproteobacteria; Nitrosomonadales. The record is from RNAcentral.
GGGGUGUUAGCUCAGCUGGUAGAGCACCGGACUUUUAAUCCGAUGGUCGGGAGUUCGAUCCUCCCACACCCUACCA